GAUGAACGCUGGCGGCGUGCCUAAUACAUGCAAGUCGAGCGAACGGACGAGAAGCUUGCUUCUCUGAUGUUAGCGGCGGACGGGUGAGUAACACGUGGAUAACCUACCUAUAAGACUGGGAUAACUUCGGGAAACCGGAGCUAAUACCGGAUAAUAUUUUGAACCGCAUGGUUCAAAAGUGAAAGACGGGCUUGCUGUCACUUAUAGAUGGAUCCGCGCUGCAUUAGCUAGUUGGUAAGGUAACGGCUUACCAAGGCAACGAUGCAUAGCCGACCUGAGAGGGUGAUCGGCCACACUGGAACGGAGACACGGUCCAGACUACUACGGGAGGCAGCAGUAGGGAAUCGUCCGCAAUGGGCGAAAGCCUGACGGAGCAACGCCGCGUGAGUGAUGAAGGUCUUCGGAUCGUAAAACUCUGUUAUUAGGGAAGAACAUAUGUGUAAGUAACUGUGCACAUCUUGACGGUACCUAAUCAGAAAGCCACGGCUAACUACGUG
This 497-nucleotide ribosomal RNA is filed under the name uncultured bacterium. RNAcentral's name for it is "partial 16S ribosomal RNA". It matches the Rfam family "Bacterial small subunit ribosomal RNA", at positions 28 to 507 of the family's 1533-position model. The record is from RNAcentral.